AUUCGUCAGUUGUUUGUCACUGUCAGUAUAAAAAUCAGGCACUGAAGGGUAGUGUGCGUGAUGUUUAUUCGAAUAAUUAUGCAACGAUUUUAAAUUAAUAAUAAAACCUGAGAAUCAACUAAUCUAUUUUUGUAAUAUUAAUGCGUAAAACACUAGAUCCAUGUGUAUUGGCUUUGUUUUAAGUGAUACGUUAUACGUUGUAUUUUAUAAAAAUGACAUCGUUGAUGAGUUUACGUAGUAAUUUAACACUUGGAAUACGAAAAUGGAAAAGCAGUAUAACACAACUACCGAAAAAAAGUCCAGAAAAUGGGUUAUGCAGGAGUUUUUCAACACGCGAGUUAUUAAAAGAGGCAUAUUGUCGUACGAAGUUAAAAUUUAAAUCAAAAAAAUUACCUCAAGAUGUAAAUCCAAGAGGCGUAUUUGCCUGCAAUGAGCUGGAUCUUUCUGAAGUCAAAGUGUAUGGUUUUGACUAUGAUUAUACUCUGGCACAUUAUAAACCGAGUCUGGAGCAUCUGCUCUAUAAUCUCGGCAGAGAAAUACUAUUAGAAAAGUAUAAGUAUCCUCCAGAAAUAUUACAGUUGGAAUACAAACCUAAUUUUGCUGUAAGAGGUUUACAUUAUGAUAUAGAGAAAGGCCUCCUUUUGAAACUGGACUCCUUUUUACAAAUACAAUUUGGGGCUGUGUACCGAGGGCUCUCGCAGGUGUCUUCUGAGGAAGUGCUUAAGUUAUACAGGAACAGAAUCAUACCCAUCGCAUAUGUUGAGGGAGAUACUAGAGCUCAUAAACCGAAUAGAGCUAAGAUGGUGCAUUUAGCAGAUUUAUUUUCAGUUCCUGAAAUGGGUUUACUGUGUAACGUAGCCGAGUAUUUUAUCAAAAAUCACAUUGACUAUCAUCCUGAAAUUUUGUUCUUAGAUGUCAAGAACUCGGUGCAAAGCUGCCAUCCUAUAAUGCACAAGAUAGUUGCUCAAAAUGUUAAGGAGUAUAUAAGGCCCAAUGCAGACCUGAGGAAAUACUUUCAAAUGCUGCAGGAUAAUGAUAAGAAGCUCUUCCUUGUCACAAAUAGUCCCUAUCAUUUUGUUAAUGCAGGCAUGGAGAUGUUGGUAGGCCAUGAUUGGCGAGAUUAUUUCGACGUAGUGAUCGUGAACGCGAAUAAACCCAAGUUCUUCACGGAGGUGUCGCGGCCCAUCCGAGUGUUUGACAAAAACGCCAAUACACACAUUUGGGAAAAAGUCACAUCAUUAGAAAAGGGAAUCAUUUAUUAUGAGGGUACGGUGAAGCAGCUACAAGACCUGACGGGCUGGUACGGGCACCAGGUGCUGUACUUCGGCGACCAUCCGUACAGCGACCUCGCUGAUGUCACGCUCGAGCAUGGCUGGCGUACUGGCGCUAUCAUUAACGAGUUGACGCACGAAAUCAACACCUUGAACACACAGUCGUUCAAGGAGAACGCGAACUGGCUGCAGAUGCUGACGCAGCUCAUUGAAGAUCAUCAGGACUACAAGGACCCUGAAGCUUUGGAGGUCGUCACCGAGUGGAUGGCCGAAAGGGACUACCUCAGGAAUGAAAUAAAGGCAGUGUUUAACCCACAAUUCGGUAGCGUGUUCCGUACAUACCACAACCCGACUUACUUCUCGCGGCGUCUGUUCCGCUUCGCCGACAUCUACACGUCCAACAUCUCCAACCUGAUGAACUACUCGCUCACGCACACCUUCUACCCGCGCCGCGGCGUCAUGCCGCACGAGUAUGGCUCUUAUUUCGUCUGAGUUAAGUGUCAUUGUUAUCUAGCUAAUGUAAUCACUUCGAAUAAGAUUAAUUUUAUUUAUGAAUUAGUUUCGUAGCAAUGUCACCUGUCACGUUUGCUGCGAUCUAGGAAUCUGUAAGAAUAAGAUACCUGAAUAGUUAAGCAAGAAUACUUUGAAAUAUGAACCGAUUGUCAUACGAUAUGAAUUAUAAAUGUAUUAUCAGUGGUUUUAGAUAUUUUCAUGAUGUUUGUAAAUAUUUUUAGUUUAUUGUUUUAGCAAUUUAGUAUAAAUAUACAAUGUAAGACUAAUAUAUCUACACUGUGGAUAUACUGCAAAUCAUCCAACGGUAUUCUAGUCAGAAGUAUUUAAUAUAAGUCUUACAAUAAGUUCAUUUUAUUUAUUUUCUUACUAUAUACAUAUCUUUACUGUCAAUUGGUCAGCUAAAACAUAGGAAAAUGUAGUGGGUGAAUUUCAAUUAAAUAUAAGUGAAGUGCAGAUUAAGGCCUCGUCGUCUCAGCGAACCCAUGUAUGUCGCCCAGUGACGACGCGGCUUUAGUCUGCAAGCAAUUGCAUACAACAUUGAAGUAUUUAAAGCUAACUUUUAGUAUUCUUUAAAGAGGUAUUACGGGUUCAUUUUGAUUUUAUCGUGGUUUAUUUAAAACUUUUGCUAUUAAUUUGACAAUUGUCGGUACAUCUAUCAUUAUAUACCUAUAUUAUAUAUUCAACCAGACUUUAUAAUGCUGGUAAACUGUAAUCGCAAUAGGUCAAAGUUAUACAUUAUUAUCUCUACAAAGAAUCUUAUUUUUAUUAAGCAUUUUGAAAGGUGUUUUAACGAGUGAUUGAAAUGAUUGCAUUAAAAAUCGGCGACUUAGCUUGUACCGGGAUUUUAAUAUUUUAUGUAUAUAAGAUUGGUUUUUGUUAAUAUUGUUUGCAGUGAUUUAUAAGACAUAUUUUACAAAAAUAUUUUUGUUGCUGUUUUUAUAUAGGACUUUAUUGUUGCUCGUAUUGGUUGAGUAAGUGUAAUAUAAAUAUGCAGGUCUUGCUAUAACUCAUAUAGUAGGUAAACGUAAUUAUACAUACUACCCUUAGAAUGUUUAAUGCUCGAGUAUUACGACUUACCAAUAUAACCGAAGACUAGUGGCUAGUGUGUUUCACCUGUGCCAUGUUGAGACAAUAACAUAACUGGAUGCACGUCUUGUCGUCUUUCAUAGUUAUGAUCUGUAGUAAACCGUGUUUAGAUAAAAUUAAUUACGUAUCAACUAUGAAUAUUUUGUCUAAUCGUCAGUGUUUAAGAGAAAUGUUGCAAUAAAAAAAUAUUUACACUGAA
This is an RNA transcript of Helicoverpa zea (corn earworm), 3069 nucleotides long. It is a transcript of the gene named 5'-nucleotidase domain-containing protein 3, with no coding region annotated. The transcript has 10 exons. The record is from RefSeq and is a predicted model, not a curated record. Lineage: Eukaryota; Metazoa; Arthropoda; Insecta; Lepidoptera; Noctuidae.